AGGCAGCGACCCUAAAUAACUGCCUUAGUCGCCCUGAAAUACGGNCAGGCAACGCUAUUAAUCUGCGCUGGAAGACCUUUUCAUAGNUCAACCAGAAGCUUCAGAGACCUCUGGAGUUCACAGAUCAAACGAUGGCGNCCACUUUUCGUGGUUAAGAUAUGAUCGGCCUCUGCGCUGUCCCCUAGCCAGAGAUUAGUGGAACCUGCGGAAGGAUCAU
Molecule: ribosomal RNA, 217 nt
Filed under: Parmelia saxatilis
Lineage: Eukaryota; Fungi; Ascomycota; Lecanoromycetes; Lecanorales; Parmeliaceae
Description: partial 18S ribosomal RNA
Source: RNAcentral